GGGUGUGUAGCUCAGCUGGUAGAGCAGCAAUCUCCAAAGUUGCCGGUCGGGGGUUCAAAUCCCUCCGCACUCG
This 73-nucleotide transfer RNA is filed under the name Chlamydiae bacterium RIFCSPHIGHO2_01_FULL_44_39. Its description in RNAcentral is "tRNA-Trp". It matches the Rfam family "tRNA". From Rfam's summary of the family: Transfer RNA (tRNA) molecules are approximately 80 nucleotides in length. Their secondary structure includes four short double-helical elements and three loops (D, anti-codon, and T loops). The record is from RNAcentral. Lineage: Bacteria; Pseudomonadati; Chlamydiota. RNAcentral also lists the same sequence under 5 other names.